This 67-nucleotide transfer RNA is filed under the name Marmota monax (woodchuck). RNAcentral's name for it is "tRNA.Thr". Lineage: Eukaryota; Metazoa; Chordata; Mammalia; Rodentia; Sciuridae. The record is from RNAcentral.
GGUUGUGGCUCAGUAGUAGAGUGCUUGCCUGGUAUGUGUGAGGCUUGGGGUUCGAUUCUCAGCACCA